AGCCUGAUGCAGCCAUGCCGCGUGUGUGAAGAAGGCCUUCGGGUUGUAAAGCACUUUCAGUUGUGAGGAAAGGUUAGUAGUUAAUACCUGCUAGCUGUGACGUUAACAACAGAAGAAGCACCGGCUAACUCCGUGCCAGCAGCCGCGGUAAUACGGAGGGUGCGAGCGUUAAUCGGAAUUACUGGGCGUAAAGCGUACGCAGGCGGUUUGUUAAGCGAGAUGUGAAAGCCCCGGGCUCAACCUGGGAACUGCAUUUCGAACUGGCAAACUAGAGUGUGAUAGAGGGUGGUAGAAUUUCAGGUGUAGCGGUGAAAUGCGUAGAGAUCUGAAGGAAUACCGAUGGCGAAGGCAGCCACCUGGGUCAACACUGACGCUCAUGUACGAAAGCGUGGGGAGCAAACGGGAUUAGAUACCCCGGUAGUCCACGCCGUAAACGCUACAGUAUUAAGAGUUCGGUUUUUCGGAACUGUCUUCCAAAGCUAACGCAUUAAGUAGACCGCCUGG
This 504-nucleotide ribosomal RNA is filed under the name Pseudoalteromonas sp. 8Bf1S13. RNAcentral's name for it is "bacterial SSU rRNA". It matches the Rfam family "Bacterial small subunit ribosomal RNA", at positions 380 to 876 of the family's 1533-position model. Lineage: Bacteria; Pseudomonadati; Pseudomonadota; Gammaproteobacteria; Alteromonadales; Pseudoalteromonadaceae. The record is from RNAcentral.